Molecule: long non-coding RNA, 234 nt
Organism: Arabidopsis thaliana (thale cress)
Lineage: Eukaryota; Viridiplantae; Streptophyta; Magnoliopsida; Brassicales; Brassicaceae
Product: other RNA
Exons: 1
Source: RefSeq
CGCAAACGCAAAAUGAGAAGAUGAUAACACAAUUUGGUCAUCGCCCAUCAAAAAAGAUGAUAGCUUUAUUGCAACAACGAAGCAAAGUUUCGAUUUUUAGUGAAGCUACACAUGAUCUCAAUUUUGUAUCCCAAAAUCAAAAAUCCCCAACUCAAAAUACACAUACUCAAAUUCGAUGCUGAAGCUAAAAGAGAUCAAAUUUAGAACAAACCAGAUUACUAUUGCAGCGAUCGA